Molecule: ribosomal RNA, 526 nt
Filed under: uncultured bacterium
Lineage: Bacteria
Description: bacterial SSU rRNA
Rfam family: Bacterial small subunit ribosomal RNA
Source: RNAcentral
ACAUCCAGAGAAUUUAGCAGAGAUGCUUUUAGGUGCCUUCGGGAACUCUGAGACAGGUGCUGCAUGGCUGUCGUCAGCUCGUGUUGUGAAAUGUGGUUAAGUCCCGNAACGAGCGCAACCCUUAUCCUUUGUUGCCAGCACGUAAUGGUGGGAAACUCAAAGGAGACUGCCGGUGAUAAACCGGAGGAAGUGGGGAUGACGUCAAGUCAUCAUGGCCCUUACGAGUAGGGCUACACACGUGCUACAAUGGCGCAUACAAAGAGAAGCGACCUCGCGAGAGCAAGCGGACCUCAUAAAGUGCGUCGUAGUCCGGAUUGGAGUCUGCAACUCGACUCCAUGAAGUCGGAAUCGCUAGUAAUCGUAAAUCAGAAUGUUACGGUGAAUACGUUCCCGGGCCUUGUACACACCGCCCGUCACACCAUGGGAGUGGGUUGCAAAAGAAGUAGAUAGCUUAACCUUCGGGAGGGCGUUUACCACUUUGUGAUUCAUGACUGGGGUGAAGUCGUAACAAGGUAAGCGUAGUGCU